This is a long non-coding RNA of Lepidothrix coronata (blue-crowned manakin), 1186 nucleotides long. RefSeq lists it as uncharacterized. The record is from RefSeq and is a predicted model, not a curated record. The transcript has 4 exons. Lineage: Eukaryota; Metazoa; Chordata; Aves; Passeriformes; Pipridae.
GAGCAUUGAUGCUGGAAGAAGGAGACACUUUGCACAGGUGGGGAUAUCCAGUUUUGUUAGCUCCAGCUGAUAUCUGUGACCCAUGUCUGGUGUUGGUGCCAGAGCAAUGCACUGCUCUUGUGAUCCUGUCCCCGUCACCCCCUCGCCUGGCCCAGCACUUGGAGGGGCUCCCUAGGUCUCUGCUAAUGUCCUUCACUGAGACCUUUCGUGGGGAACAGGAUUACUUUCAUACCAGCCUUUUACCUUCAUACCAGCCUUUUAAUCUACAAAGCACAGGUGACUGCUGGAGAGUCAUGGGAUGUGCUGUCCACGUGGGCAUUCAGACGGGGUGCCUGGGCACAAACAGAGUGUGGGAUGUGUGUACAGCCAUGUGCCAUGUGCUGGGUGCAGUAGGGUAUGGAGUAUUGUGGUGUGAAAGAUUCAGAGGGGUGGAAAAGAAAGGAAGGAGGACAGGAAGUGAGCACGUGUUCAUUCCACAUGCAAGAUGUCCCAGAGGAUGCUGUUCUGUACUUCCCAGUCACAUCUGACCAUCCAGGAGCUGAGUCAGCCGGCCAGAGCACUCAUGCUGCCGGCAAGAGAGCUGCAGGCAGGUGCAUCUCGGGUUGAACGCACCGGUUGCAGGAGUCAGGUCUUUCCUGAGUGAAAGGAAGGAGUUCAGAGCAGCCAUGGUCAGGAGGCCCUCAGAGAAUGGAAACACCACUGAUCUUGGCAUUAUGCAGCCAGGCCAGAGGGGAACUGCUCUACUUCCUGGGUGAACUAAGGGUAACCCCAAUGACUGUGGGAACUUGGUAGAUCCUCAGAGACAGAGACUGCAGAAGAUCUGCAGGAACCUGCAGAGAGGAGGAGGACCCUUCCUGUCCCUGCCCAGCUAGUGACUAGUCUGCUUUGUAGGCAGCUGACAGGGCAGUUCAAGGAGUGCCAGGACUGACUUGAACACUGAUGUGGCAUUCCUGGAAGAAAGAGGGUAAGUGCCGGUUUUAUUUGAAACAUAAUUGGAUUUGCAGCAAAUACACUCCAAAAAGCACAGUGAAACAACCAAUGCUAUCAGUAUACUUAACUACCUGAUCAAAUCAGAGUUAUUAAAAGUUAAAGUUUUUAGUGUUAGGUUGUUUUCGUUUUGGUUUUUUAAAACUUUGAAAAGAUUUAUUGAAGUCUUUUGAAGCACUCUAGUCUAAGUUAACCUGUC